GCCAAUAGGAUCGUUGGGACUCACCAGUAGCAGUGGGGCAAGGAGAGGGGGAAGGCCUAACGUAGCGGAGCGCCAGUCGGCCUUUAGUCGCCGUAGGGGUAACUUGGUAAGGUGAACCUUUGUCAGUUAGGUCAAUUUUUUUGUUUUUUUUCCAUUUUCCCUCCCCUCCUACUUCAUAGUAAAGUUUUUUAAUACCAGCUUCUAGUAUUUCUCUAAUUAAAUGAUAUUAGUGCAGUGUUAUAGUGAAUAGUGUUUUAGCGUAAUUUAACGAAACUAAGUUUUUAUAAAUAUUUUUCCGAUGUUUAAAGUAAAUGGGAUUUCGUGUUUUCAGUUCUCAGUGGUUGAUUGCGAAUAUAAUUUCGAUUCGUAAAAUUCAUCAUAUUUUUUCUACACGGAGAAAAAUGGAAAAACGAAUAAAGUAACUUUUACUACUUUAAAAGUAAAAUUGGACCUGUCCGAAGUUUCUGCGCAUCUCUGGCAACUUUUACUCGAAAAAUAGUAAAAUUGACUAUUUCUGUAGUAAAUUUUACUGUUUCCGUAGUAAUUUUUACUAUUUCUGAAGUAAAUUUUACUAUUUUUGGAGUAAAAGUUGCCAGAGAUGCGCAGAAACUUCGGACAGGUCCAAUUUUACUUUUAAAGUAGUAAAAGUUACUUUUUCUUUUUUUCCGUGUAGUAACGCGUUCCGUGAUAUAAAAUUAACAAAAGUUUAUCGGUCUUUAUUUUCAACGAUGUUCAUCAGUAAAAAUUGUUUGUUCUGUUUCAAGAAGUGAAUUUAAUAUAAAAAGUAAACAAUUAUUUUAUUAAUAGUUAUUCUAAAGUGCCGAUUUCCGUCUUUUAGUCUCUAAAAUCAGUGUUCGCGUUCUGUGGAAAGAAGUAAAAAGUAUUUUUUUUAAAAUACUCGAGUGUGUGUUUCUUGGAAAAGAAAGAAAGUCUUAGUUUCUUAAAUCAGUGCUUGCGUUUCGUAAAAAAAAGUGAUGUGUUUGUUAAAUUUGUGUGUGUUUAUGUUUCCUGGAUAAAAAAAGCGUUAGUUCCAGAGCAGCUCCUGGAGGAGUCGGGCAUUGCUGAGUCGCAGUCCAAUUAUUAUUUCCGACAAAUCUGAUACAACUGAAGGAGAGAAUCGGAAGGAGGAUGCUGAGAAAUGGGGUCCCAACUAUUGUUCUUGGUCAACGCAGAGAUACGCAGGAUCUGUCCCAGGAGAAGGCAUGCGGAGAUUAAUUGCAACGUGGGAGUCAGCGAUUGAACACGGAGCAUUUUAAUCAAAGGAAAAAGUUAAGAAGACUUAUAAAUUAAAAUUAAAAAAAAAAAAGUUUUUCUUAUUAAAUUUGAAUACAUUAUGAACAAUUACCCACCUAUUAAAAGAGCAAGAACUUUAC
This is a long non-coding RNA of Leptopilina boulardi, 1373 nucleotides long. RefSeq lists it as uncharacterized. The transcript is spliced from 3 exons. The record is from RefSeq and is a predicted model, not a curated record. Lineage: Eukaryota; Metazoa; Arthropoda; Insecta; Hymenoptera; Figitidae.